Taeniopygia guttata (zebra finch) is the source of this 2048-nucleotide non-coding RNA. Lineage: Eukaryota; Metazoa; Chordata; Aves; Passeriformes; Estrildidae. The record is from RefSeq and is a predicted model, not a curated record.
GGGCCCUCUGUGGGUGUGUGUCCUGCACAUGGCUUCGUCCCCAGCCAGGUGAUUAGGAGUGCUGCUGUGUAAUUAGCAAGUGCUGCUGUGUAAUUAGUGAUGGCUGCUGAGAUCUAAUGCAUCAGACAGAUCCCCCUUCCCUGCUUCCUGUCUGGUCUGUGUGGAGAUGCAUUAACUGGUGCUUACCCAUAACCAGGACUCUGCCCUCCCCUCCCUUCCCCACAGCUGCUGGGCAGCCUCGGAUCUGGGAGAAAAGGGUUGGAAAAGUCCCAGACUGGGGAGCAGCUCUGAGCCCUGCUCUGAGCAAUCCCAGACUGGGGAGCAGCUCUGAGCAGUCCCAGACUGGGGAGCAGCUCUGAGCAGUCCCAGACUGGGGAGCAGCUCUGAGCAGUCCCAGACUGGGGAGCAGCUCUGAGCAGUCCCAGACUGGGGAGCAGCUCUGAGUGCUGCUCUGAGCAGUCCCAGACUGGGGAGCAGACUCUGAGCUCCAGGAGCUGCUGGCAUGGGUACUUUGCCUCGAGUCAUGCAAAAAAAAUCCUGUUCCUAAAGGAACAAGUUGUAUGGAAUCAUGGACUGGUUUGGGUUGGAAGGAGCUUAAAGAUCAUCCUGUGCCAGCCCUGCCAUGGCAAGGACACCUCCCACUGUCCCAGCUGCUCCAAGCCCUGUCCAGCCUGGCCUUGGGCACUGCCAGGGAUCCAGGGGCAGCCACAGCUGCUCUGGGCACCUCUGCCAGGACCUCACACCCUCCCAGGGAGGAAUAAGCAUUCCCUUAAUGAAGUCUGAAAAUUUGAAUCCUGGUUCAGGUAUUGGCUUUGCUUCCAGGGCUGGUUCAACCUCAUGGUUAAAAAAAAAAAAAAAAAAGAAAAAUAGUCUUGUUUUCUCAGGAAUUGCCUCAUGUCUGAUUAGAUACUGAGUUCUCUUCAAAGCCAGAGGAUCUUUUAGGCCCUGCCUGGAUAAAAUUCUUUUAUUUAGUAGUGAGAUCAUGCAGGUAUCUGGAAAGAUAAGCCAGGUAAACAUUAAGGUGCCUUUCUCAGUAAGUCUGAGGUAGUGCUGAAGCCACUUGUCUGAGGAAUAAACCCUGUUACGCUGAUUUAUUCUGUAAUUUUUGCACACAACAGCCUUCUCCUGACUUCACAGAAACCUGCAGAACCCGCUCCCAGGUGUCAAAUCCAUUCUCUCAGGGCCACUAGAUCUGCUCAUGGGAAAUUUGGCAAUUAGCUGUGUGUCCUUCUGGUGGUUAAUCAAGGGUGGCCGUGCUGGGUUCGAGCCUGGAGGGGAGAGGCUGCUCAGGCUGGGGCCUGACUUCAUUCAGCCAGGAGCUGAGCUGCUGUGUGUGCAGAGAGGGAGGUGCUGCUGCAGGCAAACAUCCUCCUGGGCUCAGGGAAAGUGCUCUGGGCAGGCUUUGAGGGAUGAGGGAACAGAGGAAAGCACUGGGAGUGCUUGUUUGGAACCUCACUGGGCAAAUAUUUAGAAGAGAGAAGUGCAGAAUGUUGGCACGUGGCUCUUUCCUUCCUGCAGAUAAGGAUCAGCAGCUCAGUGGAUGAGAUUGUGUCGAGAGAUUUAUUUUCCUCAGAGUGUCUGGCAAACACAAAUCUGCAAAGGUGGUUCACAGGGGCUGGAGAAGACUCUGUGUAAAAAUUUAAACCAAAAAAAACCCUCAAACUCCAAAGGUGGUUCACAGGGGCUGGAGAAGACUCAGACUUUAGACUCAGACUUUAGAGAUGGUUCACAGGGCCUUGGAGUAGACUCUGUAAUAAUUUAAAACUAAAAAUGGUGGAAAAAAGCAAACCAAACCAACAAAAAGCCCAAAGGUUUCCUCUUGGAAAGGGGAUUUGUUGUUUAAGAGUGGUCUGCAAAGGGUUCUCCACUUUUGUGUCCCAGGUGGAAGCAUUGCUUAGGAGUGGAACUGUCCAGGAGAGCAAGUCUCAACUAGGAUGGAAAAUAAGCUUUGGGGUUUUAUAAUGUUUCUUCCUCCACAAGGAGCCAGAUGUUCUGUCUGAGUGGGAGUAUCUCAGAAAUUAGAGCUACUCCGAGACAGUAUUUUUCAC